Long non-coding RNA from Prosopis cineraria, 528 nucleotides. RefSeq lists it as uncharacterized. The record is from RefSeq and is a predicted model, not a curated record. Lineage: Eukaryota; Viridiplantae; Streptophyta; Magnoliopsida; Fabales; Fabaceae. The transcript is spliced from 3 exons.
AAGUCCCACAUUGGUUAGAUGAGGGAAGAGAAGAGGUGCCUUCAUGUAUAAAAAGGAGGGGUGUGUGUGCAUUAGGAAGCAUGAGAGGCUAAGAUGCAAUUUAGAGGAAAUUGCAACUUUUGGCCCAAAGGUUUGAAUAAUUAAAUUCAAACCUAUAGUUUUUUUUAAUAUAAUUUUGGGACUCACAAUCCCAUUUUUAUAUUAUUUUUCUCUCUUCCUCUCACGUUGCUCGGCGUUUUCUCGCAAGGGGGGAUUAUUUUCUUUUUCUUCAGAUUAUAUUGACAAAGAUAGUGGUGAAAAAGGAGUUGUGAAGGGGAACUUGUUAUUCAAGACACAAGGAGCGAGUCCGGCCGAGAAAGCACCAGAGGUGUAACUAUGGUGUAUGAGACACCAUCUUUUACGUUGCCUCUUAUUUUGGAUUAUACAAUGUAUCUUGUGCCAACUUAGGACAUAUCUUCUUUGUGAAGCAUGUAAACUCUAAUCCUUUUUAUUAAAAGUAUUUAUAUGACCAAGAGGAUUAUGUCUGUC